UAAAGCUGAUUUACUGGAAAGCCUUGAUUCAGUUAAUAGGAAGUUUAUAAGAUGCUCCUCGAUAUGAACUUCCCACAGCAAUGGGUUAAUUGGAUUCAAUCUUGCCUGAAACUCCAAAGUUUUCGAUACUCUUUAAUGGCUCACCAAUUGGUUUUUUUUUUGGGAGCACGAAUGGCAUCCGACAAGGUGAUCCACAAUCUCCUUAUCUUUUUUACUAUUAAGAUGGAAGGACUUAGCUGUAUGUUGGAACACGCAUCUCUUAAAUGGCAGCAUUAAGGUACCCAUUGCUGGUUCUGUUUUUUUUUUUUGGUAAGUAAAAGUAAAUUGAUUAUAUGUAAAGUUUCUACAAAUAGCUUUAUCUAUACAUGUCAUUGACAAAGCCAUGUAACUCAUAGAGUGCGAAAUGCGAUAGUUAUGACUACACAUGUUGUAGACUAUAACUCAUAAUUAUAAUCAAAAUAGAAAAUGUUUAUCCAGAUAUAUCAAAAUUUGGCAUCAUUCCCAAGAUCUUUAACUAAUAGCAAAAUUAAAAUUGAUAAAAAUAUAUUUUUCUCUUUGGGUAAAGUGCUCCGUUUUGAGAUCUUGCUCCAUACAGGAUCUUGAGUCUCUAAUAAUCUCUUUCAAUAGCUGAGCAUUGUUUGUGUGUUGACAUUCAAAGAUUCUGUUACAUCUCUCCUUCCACAUCCACCAAAUAACGCAUCUGAAAUUUCCCAGAUUGAUUCUUUUGAAAGAUACCUAGCAGAAACCCAAUGUGACCAUAAGGAACAUUUGUUUUGCAAAAGAUCCCACAAUUGCUGCACCAGACAUGCUUGAUUCCAAUCUCUAGUAUUUCUCAAGUUUAGCCCCCCUUCAUCUUUCGGUUUGCAAAUGCUAUCCCAAUUUACCAUAUGCAUUGCCUUAUCAUUUGUGCCAUUCCGAAGAAGUUCAUUAAUAACCGUUCAAUAUCUUGGAGAAGUCCAGCAGGUAAAAGAAAUGCAUUACACCAAUAUAUAGAGUAGGAGUGCAAUACCGAACGGAUGAGUUCGAGUCGCCCUGCUUUUGAUAGAAACCUAUUUUUCCAAGAAGAAAUUCUAUUCUUUAUUUUUUUUUGCAAGAAAGGCUGACAGUGGGUUUUGUGAAUGCCUGUGGAUAUGAGUGGGGAGACCCAAAUAAGGAACUGGCAAGCUUCCCUCACUAACACCCAAAGUUUGUGUAAUAAAGACAUUAUCCUCAACGUAAGGGCUCAUAUAUACUUUACUUUUCAUAUGAUUUAACUGAAGUCCAAAACCAUACCAAAGUCAUUCAUAAUAGUAGCCGGGUUCUUUACGGAAGUUGGUUCAUUUUGGAGAAAGAUAAGUAAGUCAUCUGCAAAUGUUAUAUGUGAUAUAAGGGGCCGGGAAGCCCGCCUGAGAGCGUCAUCUCCGCGAACUCGAAAGGGAAUCGGGUUAAAAUUCCCGAGCCGGGAGGAGGCGGGGACGGCAACGUUAGGAAGUCCGGAGACGUCGGUGGGGCUCGGGAAGAGUUAUCUUUUUCUGCUUAACGGCCCGCCCACCCUGAAACGGCUCAGCCGGAGGUAGGGUCCAACGGUCGGAAGAGCGCCGCGUCGCCGUCAAGGCGUCCGUCCGCUCCGGCGUUCCUUGAAAAUCCGGGAGGACCGAAAAGCCGCCCGCUCCCUGGUCGUACUCAUAACCGCAUCAGGUCUCCAAGGUGAACAACCUCUGGCCCAUGGAACAAUGUAGGCAAGGGAAGUCAGCAAAACGGAUCCGUAACCGGAAAAAGGAUUGGCUCUGAGGGGCUGGGCACGGGGUCCCGCCCCCCAACCCGUCGGCUGUCUGCGGACUGCUCGAGCUGCUCUCGCGGCGAGAGCUGGUCGCCGCCGCUGCCGCCGGGAACGAACCGAAUGGCCCCUCGGGGCCUUCCCAAGCGUCGAACAGCCAACUCAGAACUGGUACGGACAAGGGGAAUCCGACUGUUUAAUUAAAACAAAGCAUUGCGAUGGUCCCCGCGGAUGCUCACGCGCAAUGUGAUUUCUGCCCAGUGCUCUGAAUGUCAAAGUGAAGAAAUUCAACCAAAAAGCGGGUAAACGGCGGAGUAACUAUGACUCUCUUAAAGGUAGCCAAAUGCCUCGUCAUCUAAUUAGUGACGCGCAUGAAUGGAUUAACGAGAUUCCCACUAUCCCCUGUCUACUAUCCAGCGAAACCACAGCCAAGGAACGGGCUUGGCAGAAUCAGCGGGGAAAGAAGACCCUGUUGAGCUUGACUCUAGUCCGACUUUGUGAAAUGACUUCGAGAGGUGUAGGAUAAGUGGGAGCCGGUUCACCGGCGGAAGUGAAAUACCACUACUUUUAACGUUAAUUUACUUAUUCCGUGAUUCGAGGCGGGCCCGCCCCUCCUUUUUUGACCCAAGGCCCGCCCUAGCGGGCCGAUCCGGCGGAAGACAUUGUCAGGUGGGGGAGUUUGGCUGGGGCGGCACCUCUGUUAAAAGAUAACACAGGUGUCCUAAGAUGAGCUCAACGAGAACAGAAAUCUCGUGUGGAACAAAAGGGUAAAAGCUCGUUUGAUUCUGAUUUCCAGUACGAAUCUGAACCGUGAAAAGCGUGGCCCUAUCGAUCCUUUAGACCUUCGAAUUUGAAGCUAGAGGUGUCAGAAAUGUUACCACAGGGAUAACUGGCUUGUGGCAGCCAAGCGUUCAUAGCGACGUUGCUUUUUUGAUCCUUCGAUGUCGGCUCUUCCUAUCAUUGUGAAGCAGAAUUCACCAAGUGUUGGAUUGUUCACCCACCAAUAAGGAACGUGAGCCGGGUUUAGACCGUCGUGAGACAGGUUAGUUUUACCCUACUAAUGAUCGUGUCGCGAUAGUAAUUCAACCUAGUACGAGAGGAACCGUUGAUUCACACAAUUGGUCAUCGCGCUUGGUGGAAAAGCCAGUGGCGCGAAGCUACCGUGUGUCGGAUUAUGACUGAACGCCUCUAAGUCAGAAUCCUAGCUAGCAACCGGCGCUCUCGCCCGUCGUUCGCCAUGGGCUCAUGUCGCUGGUAUAGCCCUCGUGGUGGUAUAGCCACGGGCGGCCAUCGGGAAGUGAAAUUCUGCACGGACGACGGGCCGAAUCCUUUGCA
This 3091-nucleotide ribosomal RNA is filed under the name Musa schizocarpa. RNAcentral describes it as "eukaryotic LSU rRNA". The stretch from base 1205 to 3091 matches the Rfam family "Eukaryotic large subunit ribosomal RNA". The record is from RNAcentral. Lineage: Eukaryota; Viridiplantae; Streptophyta; Magnoliopsida; Zingiberales; Musaceae.